AGCGAACGCUGGCGGCAGGCCUAACACAUGCAAGUCGAACGAACUCUUCGGAGUUAGUGGCGGACGGGUGAGUAACACGUGGGAACGUGCCUUUAGGUUCGGAAUAACUCAGGGAAACUUGUGCUAAUACCGAAUGUGCCCUUCGGGGGAAAGAUUUAUCGCCUUUAGAGCGGCCCGCGUCUGAUUAGCUAGUUGGUGAGGUAAAGGCUCACCAAGGCGACGAUCAGUAGCUGGUCUGAGAGGAUGAUCAGCCACAUUGGGACUGAGACACGGCCCAAACUCCUACGGGAGGCAGCAGUGGGGAAUCUUGCGCAAUGGGCGAAAGCCUGACGCAGCCAUGCCGCGUGAUUGAUGAAGGUCUUAGGAUUGUAAAAUUCUUUCACCGGGGACGAUAAUGACGGUACCCGGAGAAGAAGCCCCGGCUAACUUCGUG
RNAcentral lists this ribosomal RNA (433 nucleotides) under uncultured bacterium. Its description in RNAcentral is "partial 16S ribosomal RNA". It matches the Rfam family "Bacterial small subunit ribosomal RNA", at positions 29 to 507 of the family's 1533-position model. The record is from RNAcentral.